UGCUGAGGUGGCAGUCCCAGCACUGAGCUCACAAAUCAGAGGUUUACCUGGUUUCCUUCCUCUGCUCCUUACGGAUGAUAUCCAAAGUCUGAAUACUGGUCUCAAACUUAGUCCUGUCUCUGUGGCAAACUCUGGUACCAUGUGGGAUGAUCUCUAAGAAGGAAUACCACAACAAAGCUGUUGGAUGGGUGUAUAAGAACCAAAAUUACAGUCCAGACUGGAGCCUGCUGCAGGCUAAGACACAGCACAGAGAAAUAAAUGUUUGGAAGGAUCAAAUGAUGAGCAACUCUCAUUUACUGGAAACUAUAUAGGGAACAUCACAUUUUCUUCAAGUCCUUCUUGUCUGGGGUGGGCUAGCCACAUGUACAUUUCUUCUCGAAACCUUUGUAGAUUUGAGAACAUUACAAGCAAAAUCUCAGAAUGACAGAGAGUAUGUUAGUUCCUCAUUUGGUUUUCUCCUCAAAAGAACAGGGAGUUCUUCCUGUCUUGGGACCAUACAGCUCCUGCAAAUCCAGCCGUCUUCUGCUUCUUUGAUCCUCAGCUCAUCAGAGAUCCCAGUGCCCGCACGUUGCUAUCUCAUGGUUUGCUCCCGAUGUUUGGAUUCAAGCAUCAAGAGUGCAGGAAAUGAAUUUCAGUAGAGCUGCAGUGAAAGUAGAACAAAGAGAUUGCAACAGUGAGUAAAAACUCCCAAGAGAUUGACCAUACCCAUUUGGGCAUGAGUAUCUCUUUAGUAGGUGUCUAGGAAAGGUGCUGGUGUUUCAACAACACUGCUGUAACCUUUCCACAAGUGUGCUGGGUAAGAACAGGCACCACUGCUCUGGGAAAAAUGUGCAUCAGCAAGAUGGCAAAGGACUUGAAUCCUCACCAGACAAUCCAGGGAGACAGCACUUGGCUGAGGAUUGGCCAUGGGGGUUCUGUCCCCACCACCAGUGCAACAUUCUCUGUGGCUGUGACUGAUGUUAGGUCACAAAGGUUUGGCAGCCAGGGGUUGCUAAUUUGGUGCUUGCAUAGCUAAGUGUGGGAAAAGAAGCAUAUGACAUGGUUCCAUUUAUUAUUAAAAACCACAGAAAUGUAUUUGAUUGUUGGGGAGUUGUCCUUUGUCUUCCUGUCACUUGUUCCAUACCAUUGCUGGUUCUGCUUUUUACAGUCACAUGUUCCCCUCUAGGCUGGGGAGAGGAUUUUCAAGAUGAGUUACAGCUAUGCUGCUGACUUCAUAUUUGGUAGACUGUGCUCAUGUUUGCUCAUGUUUUGAUAUUAUGCUUCUUUUUUUCUACUGCCACAGAACUUCCUGCCACAUACGAAAAACUUCUGCAAUAAUGGCCUUGUUUGCAUGACAUGAUUUUGAGGAAAACCCUUCAUAGCACGAGGGCAAAGUGUCAGUAGUUGAACACUUGGGCACCUCUCUAAGACCUAAGAUGUCUUGCACAACAGUAAGCCAGGGCCCCCAGCAUAAGAAAGACAUAGAACUGUGGGAGCAAGUCAAGAGGAGGGCUACAGAGGUGAUCAGAGGGGUAGGGCAACUUCCCUAUGAAGAAAGGCUGAGGGAUCUGGGCUUGUUUAGCUGGAGAAGAGAAGGCUAUGGGGAGACCUCACUGUGGCCUUCCAGUUCUUUAAAGGGAGCUUAACAACAGGAGGGAGUGCGACUUUUUUACAUGGCCUGAUAAUGAGAGGACAAGGAAGAAUGGUUUUAAACUAAAAAGGGGGAAACUCAUAGAUGUUCGGAGGUGUUUUUUACUCAGAGGGUGGUUAGGCACUGGAACACGUUGCUUUGAGAAGCUGUGGGUGCCCCAUCCCUGGAGGCAUUCAAGGCCAGGUUGGACGGGGCCCGGGGCAGUCUGAUCCGGUGGGUGGCAGCCCAGACCGUGGCAGGGGGCUGGAACUAGAUGAUCUUCAAAGUUCUUUCCAUCCCAAACCAUUCUAUGAUUCUAUGAUUCUCCGAAUACAUUUCUGUCUCUGUUUAUCCUAGCAAGAGAUUUUCCCCACAGACCUUCCCUACUAGUCUCUAAUGUCUCCUCCAAGAGGAUUGCAAUUAUUCUUAAAAGCAAAAACUAAGCAAUCUUUUAUUAUUAUUAUUAUUUUACCGAGAAAGAUUGGGUCCUCAACUACCGCCUAUCACAGCAGUGGGGUAUUUCACCCAGGGAAUAGAGGAGUUGUAGUUAUGCACUUCAGCCCCAGAAGAGGUUCAAAUGCACAUCUUCCCUAGGAUAAGAGAGCCCCAGCAACAAGCAAGAAGGAAUUCCUUCAGGCAGGGCUCUGAAGGCCCUUCCUCGCCAUUGCUCCUGGCACCUCUUCCUAGAUCCCACCACCCUACACAGAAAACAAAAGGACACUGAAACCACAACCACUUUGACCACCCACGGGGGAGACAGAAGUGCUCUGAGGGAAAUUCAAGAAGGAUCUUCGACCAGGCACCGCUGAAGCUAAGAUUUGUCAAGUCAUAACUUCAACGCUCUGCAGAGCGUUUGUUGUUUAAGACCGUAUACAGGAAAUCUGAGCAGUAAAUGUUCUCCAUCUUUGAUCAAUGCGCCAGCGUGCUGCUGUGAAGUGAAACAGCGUAGGCUGGCAGAUGAGAGUUUUCCCCAGGGGCAUUCUGUAGGGAACACAACUGAG
This 2610-nucleotide long non-coding RNA is filed under the name Gallus gallus (chicken). Its description in RNAcentral is "lncRNA (ENSGALG00010012321.1)". Lineage: Eukaryota; Metazoa; Chordata; Aves; Galliformes; Phasianidae. The record is from RNAcentral.